Molecule: ribosomal RNA, 253 nt
Filed under: uncultured bacterium
Lineage: Bacteria
Description: partial 16S ribosomal RNA
Rfam family: Bacterial small subunit ribosomal RNA
Source: RNAcentral
UACGUAGGGUGCAAGCGUUGUCCGGAAUCAUUGGGCGUAAAGAGCGUGUAGGCGGCUCGAUCAGUCUGCUGUGAAAGUCCAGGGCUCAACCCUGGGAUGCCGGUAGAUACUGUCGAGCUAGAGUCCGGAAGAGGCGAGUGGAAUUCCUGGUGUAGCGGUGAAAUGCGCAGAUAUCAGGAGGAACACCAAUGGCGAAGGCAGCUCGCUGGGACGGUACUGACGCUGAGACGCGAAAGCGUGGGGAGCAAACAGG